UGCCCUACGGGAGGCAGCAGUGGGGAAUAUUGGUCAAUGGCCGAGAGGCUGAACCAGCCAAGUCGCGUGAGGGAUGACGGCCCUACGGGUUGUAAACCUCUUUUGUCGGGGAGCAAGACCCGCCUCGUGCAGGCGGAGCGAGAGUACCCGAAGAAAAAGCAUCGGCUAACUCCGUGCCAGCAGCCGCGGUAAUACGGAGGAUGCGAGCGUUAUCCGGAUGUAUUGGGUUUAAAGGGUGCGCAAGCGGACCAUCACGGCAGCGGAA
RNAcentral lists this ribosomal RNA (265 nucleotides) under uncultured bacterium. RNAcentral describes it as "partial 16S ribosomal RNA". It matches the Rfam family "Bacterial small subunit ribosomal RNA", at positions 335 to 596 of the family's 1533-position model. The record is from RNAcentral.